This 1477-nucleotide long non-coding RNA is filed under the name Salmo trutta (river trout). RNAcentral's name for it is "lncRNA (ENSSTUG00000019749.1)". The stretch from base 1375 to 1428 matches the Rfam family "UnaL2 LINE 3' element". Lineage: Eukaryota; Metazoa; Chordata; Actinopteri; Salmoniformes; Salmonidae. The record is from RNAcentral.
UGCCAAUAUUCUUGUAAUGCUUUUUAUAUAAAACAUCUCAAAUUACUGCUCAAUUUGAGCAAAUUCCGAAUACGUGAUUAAUAACAGCAAAUCCUGCUAUUAACCAGAUUUGUUUUUUAAAUUACAUUUGACAGCCUUAUUUUGCAUUGAACAAUCAAUAUAAUGGUCAAAACAUUGGGUUCUCAAGUGGGAGACCCGGGUUUUAAUCCCGCCAGAUACAAAAGCACACAUGUGAAAUUUAGACUAUCACGUGAAAUGUUGGGAAACCACGUGUCAUGUGAAACAUUUACAUGUGAGAAAUCUAUGUAAAACUUCACACGUGUCCGAAAACCACGCAUCUGACUCAUGUUCAUUUUUGGUUUUCACAUGUGACUUGUUCAGAUCCAAAAAAAUCUACAUGUAAAAAAUACAUGAAACUUCUCGUGUCCAAAAACCACGUGUCACAUGAUAUUUUUUUCAAGUGAACAUUUUCACAUGUGAUUUGUUCCUACAUGUGUCAGAUGAGAGGGUGAAUUAAAGUUUGAUCAUACAAGAUUGCAUGAAUGAGGCAAUAACAUGCACAUAAACAUACCAGCUAUAAACAGCAGCCAUGGUUACCUGAGGGAAUCUAAGGGGGAUAUCUCUAUCUGAUAGUACAAACUAGAAAACAAAGAAGGGAUUGAUGUCCUCGAUGCAUGUAUGGUGACAGCUUUAAUGCUUACGUCAAGUUGAACAAGGAAAUACAAAUAAAUCCCACACUUUGCUAACAGGAACUCCUGCUGUCCAGAAUGUUGUCCACCCAUGGCUAAACACAGAACUAUGGGUGAAAAAAUACAGGAAAGAGGUGGUGCUCCAGGUACAUCAGCAUGACUAACAUGCAAACGUUGUGUGCCCAUAAUGUACAUAUCGGCCCUCAGAAGGAAAGAUCCGGUUGGCAUAGAUCUACAAAUCUCAAAGAGGAUAGCACUUGAAUCACGGGAGGUGGACGGAUACACACGCCAUUGGACGAAAGGAAGAGAUGUGAAUGUUUACAUCUCGGGCAGAAAUCUGCCUCCCUGUGUUAUGACCAGAGACUCAGCCCUGUGAAAGAUGGCGCAGAUGGAUGUGAGGGAGACACCAUUCAGAGACAGACUAACAGACAGUUUCUCCUGCAUGCAUUCAAACAAGCGCAUGCACACACACACACACACACGAACCCACAAUCACAGAUGGGGGAAGAUACCACAGACGAGUGAUCUCUUCCACAGACCGACUAAAUAAGGCCCUCACAGAAACGUUCCCUGUGGCUCAGUUGGUAGAGCAUGGUGUUUGCAACGCCAGGGUUGUGGUUUCGGGUUCCCAUGGGGGGCCAGUACAAAAAUAAAAAAAAGAUACAAAAAAAAUGUUUGAAAUGUAUGCAUUCACUACUGUAAGUCGCUCUGGAUAAGAGCGUCUGCUAAAUGACUAAAAUGUAAACAAGCAAGGCGUGAAAAUUCCACUGCCAGUAAGUUUUGCUGUG